GCCAGCACAUGUGCGAUGUCACUUGACUGUUUCUUCUGAGUUAAUUUUGGCGGACAAGUUGCUGGUGGUCUUCGUUUUUGGAAGUUGUAAGAGGUGGAAAUUCCGAGGAUUUCUACUGUUCCACUGUCUCAAAGUUCGUUGACAAACGCACUUCCAAUCUCCUCAGUGUGUUGAAGAAGAAAGGAGGCUCUGCAGGAAGGGAACUUCGCAUACUUUUGGCCCAAAGCAACUGUUGAAAAGAGGAGGGAGAUCAUCCUCAGGGCAAUUGGUUUCUACCUGAUGAAGACCCAAACAUCCUCUUCAAAGAAAACCCGGAUCUGAUGCUAUAGCCGUUCCGAGGGAGCUUGGACAAGUUAUCUUUACAGCAUCCGUGUUGAGGGAGGUGAUGCUACCACUCCUCCAGCUGAUGUUGGGAUAGUCACCGAGGGUGCUGAAGUUCUGCAUGACUUGGGAGACAUCGCCUCUACACGUGCACUCUUAAUAGGUGUAAUUAUGCACUGAACCUCAGUUAUCCUUAGAACCUUUAAGCCUUCUUUGAGGUACUUCACAAGUGAUUCUUUCAACUAGAUGCAAGCAAACUCUCAACCAAGGUACAGAUGCUCAAGAACAAACUCUAUGAAUGAGCCAUCCAUUGAUUUGGACGCUGUGUUCUGCGGAAUAGGCAGAAUUCUAAGCAAUGCAUCAUCAAAAUUGUUGACAACUAAACAUUAUUUUGCAAACUUUUCAACACUUUAUAGUGCUAAUAAUUUUACGGUAUUAUUUUUUUUCACCAAUUGCACCAAAAUGAUAUUGAUGUGUUGGUGAAUAAAGUCCAUAACGAAAUUCAGUUGAAAUAAAUUUGUGUGGGACCAGUUGACAAACAUUUGAUUUGUGUCAAUCUAAUUUGGAAAAAAAAUAUUGAAUGAAAACCUAAUGUUUUAAUUAAUUGAAUAUAAAUGUAUAUUGUUACUACUCCAAAUAAAAUAUUGAAAGGUAAGCUUAAAUAUAUUGUUGAUCAGAAGUUUUUUAUUUUUAGUUGGAUCAAUUGACAUUCAUUGUGUUACUCUUAUACAAGUUCAUUACAUUUUUUUGCUUUUAACUAACCUAAAACAAUUUUGUGGAAUCUGUUGAAAAAAUAAAUAUAGUUAAAAUCAAA
Micropterus salmoides (largemouth bass) is the source of this 1135-nucleotide long non-coding RNA. RefSeq lists it as uncharacterized. The transcript has 4 exons. The record is from RefSeq and is a predicted model, not a curated record. Lineage: Eukaryota; Metazoa; Chordata; Actinopteri; Centrarchiformes; Centrarchidae.